Molecule: ribosomal RNA, 497 nt
Filed under: uncultured bacterium
Lineage: Bacteria
Description: partial 16S ribosomal RNA
Rfam family: Bacterial small subunit ribosomal RNA
Source: RNAcentral
GAUGAACGCUGGCGGCGUGCCUAAUACAUGCAAGUCGAGCGAACAGACGAGGAGCUUGCUCCUCUGACGUUAGCGGCGGACAGGUGAGUAACACGUGGAUAACCUACCUAUAAGACUGGGAUAACUUCGGGAAACCGGAGCUAAUACCGGAUAAUAUAUUGAACCGCAUGGUUCAAUAGUGAAAGACGGUUUUGCUGUCACUUAUAGAUGGAUCCGCGCCGCAUUAGCUAGUUGGUAAGGUAACGGCUUACCAAGGCAACGAUGCGUAGCCGACCUGAGAGGGUGAUCGGCCACACUGGAACUGAGACACGGUCCAGACUCUUACGGGAGGCAGCAGUAGGGAAUCUUCCGCAAUGGGCGAAAGCCUGACGGAGCAACGCCGCGUGAGUGAUGAAGGUCUUCGGAUCGUAAAACUCUGUUAUUAGGGAAGAACAAAUGUGUAAGUAACUAUGCACGUCUUGACGGUACCUAAUCAGAAAGCCACGGCUAACUACGUG